This is a long non-coding RNA of Felis catus (domestic cat), 5759 nucleotides long. RefSeq lists it as uncharacterized. The record is from RefSeq and is a predicted model, not a curated record. The transcript is spliced from 3 exons. Lineage: Eukaryota; Metazoa; Chordata; Mammalia; Carnivora; Felidae.
UUUUAUCUAUGUGUCUGUGCACUUACAUGUGCCAUCAUCCCCCGCCACUAUCUACAAGACCACAAACCUUUAGGGAAAGAAUAUUACUGACAUCAGGAGAUUUGAAUCUACGUUGCCAAUCACCUUGGUAAUUUUGACUAUUUCUGGUCUGGCUUCCACUGGUUACAAUUGGAUUGUUACCACUUUUAACUCAGGAUGGAAAGAGGACAAGGGGCCCUUUGAGAGCAGGCUGGGGUGGGGGAGGGAGCAACAGCCUUGCCAAGUUCUUGCUGUCCUGCUUGCGCUUGGGUGACCCACCCUCUCUCCAGCCCCCAGUGCCUUUCCAGGAAACUUGUUGAGCCCUUGUCCAUUGUGUGAGGGUCAGCUAGUUAAAGUCAGAUAAGAGCACCCAUAAAUCCACUGCAGGAACAGAUGUAAAUAUGUUACAACGUGCUAACAGUGAGGGAGGAGGCAAGGAGCCCCUGUCGAUUUCAUGGAACCCCCUCACCCCAUUUCCCUAGGACCCUCCCUGACACAGGCAACAUGCACGGCAUAGGGGCUAAGGGCAGGCACCAGGGUCAACCCAUACAGUAAAUAUUCGAGAAGCUCAAAUUCUUUUUUUUAAAAAAAAACGCUUAUAAAUAGAGGCUUCGAUUUUUUUCCUCCUCUCCCAGUGGAUCAUCUUGCAUAAUCCCAGGGCUCAAAAACCCUAGUUUGAGAACUUCUAGUGUAUACAAAAGGUCUGCGUCCAAAUUCCUCAUUUUGUGUAAAGGUCCCGCCAAAGAAGAUGUCUUGUAAAUUUCUCAUAAUCGGGGCUAUGGAGGAUUUAUGUUCCCAGCACGAGGCUGGCGUGGAGCAGAUGCUCAGUAAAUAUUUGUGGAAUUAAUAGCUGGUUCCCCAAACACAUACAGCCUCCUCUCUGGGCUGUGAAUGUUCUUUUCCCCCUUAGAGCCCGGACUCUUUCACUUAGCAAGUCCUUGUUCAGCCUCAUAAGCUCAACUCAAAUGUUACCUCCUCUGGGGAGGCUGCCCCGACCUCGGGCUCUGUUUGUUCUUUCAGUACAGCAUCUUCCUGCGGAUCAGAGGGUGAGGUCUGGGCCAGGUCACCCCCACCCACCCAGUCACUCGCCACCCACCUCUCCACCCUGGUCAAGAGAUGUGGAGGCAGGGAAGGAACUUCAUCUGAGUGUCCCCAGUGCCCAGCACACUGUAGGUUCUCAGUCAAUGUCUGAUGAAUCAGAGAUUCACAGAGCCAGGAAUGAGGUCAAGGGAUGGUCCAGGCCAGAGACUUCCAGGCUCAAGAACUUUGGUUCAGGGCACCAGGCAGGGAGAGGAUGAGGGCCAAGGGAGAUGGCGUGGGGGAACAUCCAGGACCAUGUCUGCAUGGUGAACCUCAUGAAGUCUGCUCACUGAUGGCAUUCCAUGCGAGACACGAAGCCUACUUGGAGAAGUAGGGACCCCGGGCGAGGGAGUGAGCACUGGAGGCACCGUGGCGGCACCUGCAACCCCAUGGAGGCCAGGGAGUCUCAAGGAGCCAAGCAACCUCUCCCCCAAGCAUCGCUCUGCGGCCAAAAGCACUCAGUCAAGGGAGAGGCACCAGCACCAUCAUUAGAUGAUGGAGUGGGGGACCUGCCAAAGCCCGGACAAAGGCAAUCUAAAAGCAUUCCUGCUUCCAACUGGGUCAACCCAACGAACUCACUUGUUAAUGGACCCCCAUCAACACCGGCAGCCACAAAGAAGCCUCAGCCACCCCCAACCCCUCCCCCAGGGGGCCCUUCUGGUCCUGCGCCAGCAUCCUGCACCAGCUUGGGUCCCAGGCCGGCCCGCCCGGUAUGGGCUGUGGCCUGUUAGGCCAGUCACCUCCGUUCUGCAGCCAUCAUGGGAACCGGAAGACGGAGCCUGCAAGGCUCUUAGGACGACAGCAGCCACGGUACCCACUGCAGGUAGCACAAGGCAAAACACGAAGUGCAAAGCCAGAGAGAACAGGUCUCCUCCUUUUCUCCAUCCUCCCUGGCCCUGUGGACCAAGCAGUGAUUGAGGCUUUCUCCAUCUUUCACCUCAACUACUACGACCAAUUCUUCCCCACCUCCCUCCUCUGCCCUGUGCCGCUGCCAGAAUCAUCUUCCCCUGUGGCAGGAGUUGGGUUUUCAGCCACUUUUACCCAAGCAGCAUUUAAGCGCCUUUCGCGUGCACGUGCCAAACUGGGGCUGCAGGUAUAAAGAUACGCGCGGCCCCUCCUAGGAAGUGCUGCGCAGGAUCCCUAAGUACUUAAGGCUGUUGUACAAGGUCACUAAGCUGGGACUCGAACUGGUCACCACCCCAUCUCCAUCGCCCCUCGCUUGCCCCCCCUUCCCUCCCAGUGCACCUUCAGCACAAGGACUAGCAGCAGAAGUCCCAGCAUAAAAAAGGCUGUCCAGGGGCGAUGACAGAAACAGGCAGAGGAUAGGACUCAAACAUCUCCAACCAUCCGGCUCAAUGGCUUUGGUGGAGGAAGUGCCUUUUGAGGGGGCAGGGGGGUCACUUCCCUGCUCAGUAUUUCCCUUUAGGUGGCAAUGUGAGCAAGCUCAGAGCCUCCCCCCGCCCAGGAGGGCCUCCCCCCUGCCCAGGAGGGCCUCCUCCCCCAGCAUGCCUACCUCAGGAGAAACCAGCCCAGGACCCCAGACAAACAGCCAGCUGGUACUGGUCCAGCCUGGACUUGAAGGCCAAGAGCAAGAGCCAGCACAGCCCCAAGCCUCAGCCCGAGACCACCAGUCCCAGGCUGCGAGAAAAAAAGCCCACCCCCAAUGUGCAAUGGCCACAUUGCCUACCCCCUCCCCCAGACAUCAUCUCACCCGGAUGCAGGAUGCUUGGUGUAGCUGACGUGGUACAAGUUACACUGGGGCAAAAAAAAAAAGCCAGAGCCAAAUAGGAGUAGACAAGUGAAUUUGCUACAAUAAAUGUAAUCUAGGUCAAGGAUCAAAACUCCUGUCCACAGAGGACACGAGCUGCCAGGACUUAGCUGUUCUGUGUGUAUAAUCCUCAAGGACACAGGGCAACUCUAGAGGAAAGAGGAAGAACACAGAGAAGAAAAAGACCUGGGAGCUGCCGCUGUGUUCCUUUCCUGGUGCGACAGUGACAAAGGCCCACAAAUGAGGUGGGUUAAUCGAUAGAGACCUAGGGUUACAUAGUUCUCGAGGCUGGAGGUCUGAAAUUAAGAUGCUGGCAGGGCCAGGCUCCCUCUGAAGCCUCUAGGGGAGGAUCCUUCCUUGACUCCUCCAGCUUCCGGUGGCCCCAGGUGUUCCUCCACUUGUGGCUGCACCUCCCCAUCUCUGCCCACCCCCCCAUAUCAGUCUUCCCCCAAUCCCUCCGUCUUCACAUCUUCUUUCCUCUGUGCAUAUCCAUCCCUGUCUCUUCUAACGAAUCGUGUUGGAUUCAAGGCCCAUCCUUCUCCAACAGGACCUAAUCUUAACUAACAACAUCUACCUACGCGGACCCUGCUUCCCAAUAAGGUCGCAUUCUGAGCAUGCGGGUGAACAUGAAUUCCUAGAGGACACUAUCCAACCCAGCAAAAAGCUAUCCUGCCCGGUUGUCAACAAAAGGCAGAAGAAGAAAGUACCAUGUGAAGGGGUUUGGGACGGGUCAGUUCCAGGUGGACGUCUUAGUGGCCCCGGCCAAGUCACUCCGCUUCUCUGAGCCUCAGUUCUCUGAUCAACUGCACAAGGUCAUUUUGAAGGUCACGUAAGAAAAAGCUUGGUUACCGCAAAGCUCUGUACCGGGAAACACGGGUGAUGUUUCCCUCAACGAUGCCAGGUAAGACACCACCGAUACUCUGCCUGCCUCCUUUCUAGGUCCACGGUUCCUACAUUCCAGAAUACCCUCUGCAACUGUGGGACCAAUCUCGCAUGAGCCACGAGCCAGCUCCCUGGGUGAACUGGGAGCACCUGUCCUGAUCACACGAACAAGCAUUUGCCAACGUACCUCUGCAGAAAGUCAAAGCUGGAUCAUGUUGUGAUUCAGGGCUUCUAGACGGCACCCUUAAGCAGCUGGGCCACAGGGAAUCGGGGGUGUUGUCCUGUGAAGCCUCCGCCUGGUUCACAGAGGCAGUGAGGUGCAGAACGAGCCCAGAGAAGGAGCCCAGCACAGCAUGAACAAAGCCCAGCGAAGCUCUCAGAACCGAGAGGGGGCGCAGCUGCGGGACAGUCCAGCCCUUCCCCGAGCGGGGCGGAGGGAUCUACAUCCGGGUCCUGGAAAUUCACAAGGCCUUUACUCAAGCUAGUCACUUACCUCGCCUGCCUGCGCUCAGGGGGGGGCGGAGCCUCCCGACCCACGUUGCUCCCCCAAGUUCCCCACCCGCGUUGCUCCCCGGUGUUCCCAGCCACCUUGCAGCGCAGACCGUGAAGAGACUCAAAAGGGGUAAGGGUCCCUCCCUCACCCACAUAACUGGCAGAAGAUGCGGCUGGAACGUGAGUUACCAACACGCACUGUUCAUGAAGCUUUAAAGAAUGAACGACGUGCACAGAAUACAGGGCCCACGAACUUCCCGGGAGAGGUCCCAACAGAAGGGUCUGUCACUGAAACCGAGCUCAAAUUACUCGGGCUCAGAGGAAAGAACCAUAGGCUCUGCUGGCUGGAAGGAACCCCAGAGGUUCAUCGAUGGCAAGCUCCAGUCUCUAAAUUCAGCUCACUCCAGAAAUAACAGCCUCUACCCACUCCCAAGCGUGGGAAGAGAUCGGGAACAGCAUUUCUGAAACUUCAAGGUGAUGCACGGAUGCUGGUGGCUCCACAGACACACCUGGAGCAGGAAGGAUCUGGAAGGCCUGCUGCCCUCAGAAGCUCCUGCUUGCAUAGCAGGCGUGCAGGGCGUGGGCAGACUGAGCUUCCCAAGGUACAAGCUAUGUAUUUUUUCCAACUACGGAUCGAACCACAGUGCUGUGUACCACCACAGAAAAUAAUUGUUGGAUGGAUGAGUGGAUGGUUGCCGAUACGAAGGUCGAAUGUGCCAUCAGAACAACUGGCAAAUUAAUACACUGUCCUAAAAAUUGCAUAUCCAAGUAAAAAUGUCCUGGGGGAAAAUGAAGGAAGAGGGAAGGAAGGCAGGAGAGAAAGAGGGAAAGAGGGAGGGAGGGAGGGAGGGAGGAAGAAGAGGUCGAGUGGGGAGCUAAGGCUGCCCCUGGACGAAUGGGGGGGGGGCCCAGUGGUAGCCCCCUGCCGGGGCCCUGGGAGGUGUGGGCUCCCUGCUCACUCCAGCCUCUGUGCCUCCCCCUGUAGAUUCUGCAAGCCUCUUCCCCAGGUAUCACAACAUCCCUGUCUCUCCUCGGGCUCCCAGACGCACCUGGAAGCUGGGCCCAGAGCUGAGCCAGCAGGGUUGAAUAAUCCUCCCUCCAACACGUCACACCCAGCAGCACUCUUGUUCAGCGCUCUUUCCUGUUCAUCACCUGAGUGCCCGGCAAGGCGAUUCAAAACCUGGGGCCAGAUGUUUAGACUGGCAUAUAGAGGAUUCCAGCCCAGGGAAAGCCUGUGCAGGAUGGCCCAUCGGCCCCUCAUUAUCUGACUGUGGAAGUUCUUUUGAAAAGGGAGGCACCUGCCUAGGUCUUUGCAGCCUGUCCCUUGAAGCCACCUGUUCUAAGGUCAUAGCCACUUCACUCCAGACUUCCAAUUCUAAAGCCUGCUGCCCUAACAUGCACCCCAAUGUUUAAAGCAGCACUAAUGACAACAGCCAAAGUAUGGAAAGAACCCAAAUGUCCAUCGACUGAUGAAUGAAUAAAAAGAUGUGGUACACGUAUACAAUGGAAUAUUACUUGG